This 264-nucleotide ribosomal RNA is filed under the name uncultured bacterium. RNAcentral describes it as "partial 16S ribosomal RNA". It matches the Rfam family "Bacterial small subunit ribosomal RNA", at positions 793 to 1055 of the family's 1533-position model. The record is from RNAcentral.
GUCCACGCUGUAAACGAUGAGCACUCGAUGUACGAGGUAUCCACUCCUCGCGUGUCACAGCUAACGCAUUAAGUGCUCCGCCUGGGGACUACGGUCGCAAGACUAAAACUCAAAGGAAUUGACGGGGGCCCGCACAAGCGGUGGAGGAUGUGGUUUAAUUCGACGCAACGCGAAGAACCUUACCUGGGCUUGACAUCCCGCGACCGCCUCAGAGAUGAGGCUUCUCCUUCGGGAGCGCGGAGACAGGUGCUGCAUGGCUGUCGU